This 406-nucleotide ribosomal RNA is filed under the name uncultured bacterium. RNAcentral describes it as "partial 16S ribosomal RNA". It matches the Rfam family "Bacterial small subunit ribosomal RNA", at positions 29 to 526 of the family's 1533-position model. The record is from RNAcentral.
AUUGAACGCUGGCGGCAGGCUUAACACAUGCAAGUCGAGCGAGCGGCGGACGGGUGAGUAAUGUCUGGGAAACUGCCUGAUGGAGGGGGAUAACUCCUGGAAACGGUAGAUAAUACCGCAUACCAUCAGAUGUGCCCAGAUGGGAUUAGCGAGGAGGUGGGGGAAGGGCUGACCUAGGCGACGCACCCUAGCUGGUCUGAGAGGAUGACCAGCCCCACUGGAACUGAGACACGGGCCAGACUCCGACGGGAGGCAGCAGUGGGGAAUAUUGCACAAGGGGCGCAAGCCGGAUGCAGCCAUGCCGCGUGUGUGAAGAAGGCCUUCGGGUUGUAAAGCACUUGCAGCCAGGAGGCGUUACUCGCAGAAGAAGCACCGGCUAACUCCGUGCCAGCAGCCGAGGUAAUUC